Molecule: long non-coding RNA, 1324 nt
Organism: Oncorhynchus keta (chum salmon)
Lineage: Eukaryota; Metazoa; Chordata; Actinopteri; Salmoniformes; Salmonidae
Exons: 3
Source: RefSeq, a predicted model, not a curated record
CAAGGGUGGCCCUGUCCCCCGCCCGCCCCAUGCUCCUCACACAGCCCGCUGGCAUUGUGUGUGUGUGUGUGCGUGUGUGUCUGUGUCCGCCCGCUCACUGAGCAGCGCUACUGCAGAUCUACUGUGCCUGGUAUGGGCAGGGGCUAGACACUUGCUUCCGCUGUUACUGGUCACUAUUUCAUUCCCUGCGCCCCUUCACCCCCAAUCCUAGACCUGCUACCCUCAUUUGAUUCCUUACCCACAUACCCCUUCCCCCAUAAGUUUGUUUUUUUAGGUAAGUAAAGUACAGACCCAAACUAUACUACUGAAAAUCAGUCCAGUUCAGGUUUCUGAUAUGUUUAGGUCAGACAACUCAUUCACAUACACUAUAACUGAUAUGUUUAGGUCAGACAACUCAUUCACAUGCACUAUAACUGAUAUGUUUAGGUCGGACAACUCAUUCACAUACACUAUAACUGAUAUGUUUAGGUCAGACAACUCAUUCACAUGCACUAUAACUGAUAUGUUUAGGUCGGACAACUCAUUCACAUACACUAUAACUGAUAUGUUUAGGUCAGACAACUCAUUCACAUGCACUAUAACAUAUGUUUAGGUCAGACAACUCAUUCACAUACACUAUAACUGAUAUGUUUAGGUCAGACAACUCAUUCACAUACACUAUAACUGAUAUGUUUAGGUCAGACAACUCAUUCACAUACACUAUAACUGAUAUGUUUAGGUCGGACAACUCAUUCACAUACACUAUAACUGAUAUGUUUAGGUCGGACAACUCAUUCACAUACACUAUAACUGAUAUGUUUAGGUCGGACAACUCAUUCACAUACACUAUAACUGAUAUGUUUAGGUCAGACAACUCAUUCACAUACACUAUAACUGAUAUGUUUAGGUCAGACAACUCAUUCACAUACACUAUAACUGAUAUGUUUAGGUCAGACAACUCAUUCACAUACACUAUAACUGAUAUGUUUAGGUCAGACAACUCAUUCACAUGCACUAUAACAUAUGUUUAGGUCAGACAACUCAUUCACAUACACUAUAACUGAUAUGUUUAGGUCAGACAACUCAUUCACAUACACUAUAACUGAUAUGUUUAGGUCGGACAACUCAUUCACAUACACUAUAACUGAUAUGUUUAGGUCAGACAACUCAUUCACAUACACUAUAACAUAUGUUUAGGUCAGACAACUCAUUCACAUACACUAUAACUGAUAUGUUUAGGUCAGACAACUCAUUCACAUACACUAUAACUGAUAUGUUUAGGUCAGACAACUCAUUCACAUACACUAUAACAUAUGUUUAGGUCGGACAACUCAUUCACAUGCAC